UACGUAGGGUGCAAGCGUUGUCCGGAAUUAUUGGGCGUAAAGAGCUCGUAGGCGGUUUGUUGCGUCGGCUGUGAAAUCCCGAGGCUCAACCUCGGGUCUGCAGUCGAUACGAGCAAACUAGAGUGUUGCAGGGGAGACUGGAAUUCCUGGUGUAACGGUGAAAUGCGCAGAUAUCAGGAGGAACACCGGUGGCGAAGGCGGCAUUCUGGACCAUUACUGACGCUGAGGAGCGAAAGCCAGGGGAGCAAACGGG
This 253-nucleotide ribosomal RNA is filed under the name uncultured bacterium. Its description in RNAcentral is "partial 16S ribosomal RNA". It matches the Rfam family "Bacterial small subunit ribosomal RNA", at positions 524 to 776 of the family's 1533-position model. The record is from RNAcentral.